UGGCUCCGCCCCCGGCCCGGGGCCUUCCCGCCGAGCCUCCGCCAGGCUUCGGGACCAAGGGGCUGGGGAGCUACAUGGAGAUCAAGGCCAAGAGCAGCUCCCCCAGAUCACCUUUCAGCACACAAAGAGGCUUUGGGGGGAGUUCCUGGAAGAACUGAAAUCAGAAAUGGUGAUUCUUCUAACAUAUCAAGGAACUCUGGGAAAUAAUCACCAACUUCUUCAUCUACUGCUCCAACAAGACUUAUCUGCCGCAUAGGACCUGCUCGGGCCAAGUUCAACCAUGCACAUGACAACACCAAAGGAAGUGGCAAAACUUAAAGAUAGAAGGAAAGGAGAAUCCUAGAUGACAUCAUGGAACAGAGCUGCUUACCUCUGGGCUUGUUACUUGAGAAAGAAACUUAUUUUGUCCUAGCUACUGUAUGUGCGAUCUCUUUGUUACGGUGGUUUAGCCUAUAUCUUGUAUACUUUGUACUAAGGGAGGCAAUACUCUGUAUUGCACAGAUGCCAUCUGGAGCAUCAUCUCCUGCUCUGGGCUAAAUUAAAAAAAAGUCUAUUACAAGAGCACUCCCGAAAGAGAACAAUCAAGAUGAUUAGCGACGUGGAAACCAUACAGAUUGGAGGAAGAGUGAUGAAAUUAAAAAUAUUUCAAAAGUAUAUGAAAUGAUUAAAGUGGGGACACAAUAAUCUUCAAAUACUUGGAAGCUUAUCACAGAAGAGUAGACUUAUAUAGCCUUAAAUAAAGAACAAGAAU
Molecule: long non-coding RNA, 751 nt
Organism: Physeter macrocephalus (sperm whale)
Lineage: Eukaryota; Metazoa; Chordata; Mammalia; Artiodactyla; Physeteridae
Exons: 4
Source: RefSeq, a predicted model, not a curated record